UACCAGCACCCCGAGUGGUCGGGACGUUUAUUGGGCCUAAAGCAUCCGUAGCCGGUUCUACAAGUCUUCCGUUAAAUCCACCUGCUUAACAGAUGGGCUGCGGAAGAUACUAUAGAGCUAGGAGGCGGGAGAGGCAAGCGGUACUCGAUGGGUAGGGGUAAAAUCCGUUGAUCUAUUGAAGACCACCAGUGGCGAAGGCGGCUUGCCAGAACGCGCUCGACGGUGAGGGAUGAAAGCUGGGGGAGCAAACCGG
This 253-nucleotide ribosomal RNA is filed under the name uncultured bacterium. RNAcentral's name for it is "partial 16S ribosomal RNA". It matches the Rfam family "Archaeal small subunit ribosomal RNA", at positions 474 to 727 of the family's 1478-position model. The record is from RNAcentral.